RNAcentral lists this ribosomal RNA (253 nucleotides) under uncultured bacterium. Its description in RNAcentral is "partial 16S ribosomal RNA". It matches the Rfam family "Bacterial small subunit ribosomal RNA", at positions 524 to 776 of the family's 1533-position model. The record is from RNAcentral.
UACGUAGGGUGCAAGCGUUAUCCGGAAUGAUUGGGCGUAAAGCGUCUGUAGGUGGUUUAUUAAGUCUACUGUUAAAGAUCAGGGCUUAACCCUGAGCAGGCAAUAGAAACUAAUAAGCUAGAGUACGGUAGGGGCAGAGGGAAUUCCCGGUGUAGCGGUGAAAUGCGUAGAGAUCGGGAAGAACACCAACGGCGAAAGCACUCUGCUGGGCCGAAACUGACACUGAGAGACGAAAGCUAGGGGAGCAAAUGGG